Long non-coding RNA from Leguminivora glycinivorella, 1055 nucleotides. RefSeq lists it as uncharacterized. The transcript is spliced from 4 exons. NCBI's taxonomy places the organism in Eukaryota, Metazoa, Arthropoda, Insecta, Lepidoptera, Tortricidae. The record is from RefSeq and is a predicted model, not a curated record.
UAUGGUCUGUCAUUAAAUAUAUCUCUAUCGUCUACCGAAAGUGGAAUUAUAUUGUAGCUCAAAGCAUACUAAAGUUAUAAAUCGGGGUUUAAUAAAAUGAACGCGUCGAUAGAUAAAUGAUAAGUGUGUGAGUGACCACUAUUGUCUUUUAUAAAAAUCCAUUCAAUAGCUGCCUUUAUUUCAUUGCGGGAUGUGUUUUGGAACAAUAAAAUGCACGGAUUUUUCAAAUUGACAGCUGUGACACCUGUCAAAGUUUGAUUUGACAUAUUGACAAAUGUCACAUACACCCGAAAAACAUAGAAGUCAAAGAUGAAAGUAAGUUGUGUGUUGUAAAAACUAAAGGAAUUCCACCAAAAAUGUUGAUGCAAGACGGACAAGCGGGCAGGAGAAUGAUAGUGAAAUAUUUAAGAGGAUACGUACCCGGGAGCACAAACGUUUACGAUAAUAUCGUUAUCUCUAUCGCUCUUCAAUAUUGGCGCGACAGAGCCAGACUGUGUUUCAAUCGGCGUCUAGCGACGGCGAAUUUCCUCUGAGCAAUUCAGUCAGGGUAUGCUGCAAACAUACCAAGGAGCCAACAAGGAAUGUUGCCUAGGCUUGCCGCGAGAGAUGUGAAAUGCCAUGACACAAACAAAUUUUAAGUGGGCAUGAUAUAUACUCAACAACAGCGGGCACUACAAGGCUCUGGCAUAGAGUACCUAGAGCAUGGAAUGAGGCUACCAUUGCAUAGUUAAAUAUGAUGUGGCUCCUUCUUGUCAUACUUUCUACAGCUGCAGAAAAAGAAAAACAAUGUGACAGUGAACCAUACUUCGGCCAGUGAGGUGUAAUUGAACUAAAUGCCAUAAAACCAACUUGUUUGAAAUAGUUUGAAAUAGGUCCAGAAAAGUUAUAAGUUCAUGGUAUAUUAGAAAACACUCAAGAUGUCGAGGAAACACAAGAAGUUGAUGUCGAUCUAAUCAGAGAUAUUAAUUAUUAGAAAUGAAUGUAUUUGAAAUACAAAUAUAAAAUACCUAUUUUCAAUUUUAAAUACUUUUAUCAAAAACUAUUUUGUAUUUUAU